AGAGUUUGAUCAUGGCUCAGGACGAACGCUGGCGGCGUGCUUAACACAUGCAAGUCGAACGGGAUCCAAUGUGUAGCAAUACACAGGAAGAUCUAGUGGCGAACGGGUGAGGAACACGUGAGAAACGUACCCCAGACUUUGGGAUAACAGUUCGAAAGGACUGCUAAUACCAAAUAACGUCGGAAGUCCGCAUGGACAUCUGACGAAAGGGAUUCCGGUUUGGGAGCGUCUCGCGGGACCUAUCAGCUAGUUGGAGGGGUAACGGCCCACCAAGGCAACGACGGGUAGCUGGUCUGAGAGGAUGGUCAGCCACACUGGGACUGAGACACGGCCCAGACUCCUACGGGAGGCAGCAGUGGGGAAUCUUGCGCAAUGGGCGAAAGCCUGACGCAGCAACGCCGCGUGCGGGAAGAAGGCUUUAGGGCUGUAAACCGCUUUCAGUAGGAACGAAAAUGACGGUACCUACAGAAGAAGGAGCGGCCAACUAUGUGCCAGCAGCCGCGGUGACACAUAGGCUCCAAGCGUUGUCCGGAUUUAUUGGGCGUAAAGAGCUCGUAGGCGGUUGAGUAAGUCGGGUGUGAAAACUUUGGGCUUAACCCAAAGAUGCCACUCGAUACUGCUUUGACUAGAGUUCGGUAGGGGAGCGGGGAAUUCC
RNAcentral lists this ribosomal RNA (655 nucleotides) under uncultured Crater Lake bacterium CL120-17. RNAcentral's name for it is "bacterial SSU rRNA". It matches the Rfam family "Bacterial small subunit ribosomal RNA", at positions 8 to 670 of the family's 1533-position model. The record is from RNAcentral.